GGGCGGUUAGCUCAGCGGUAGAGCACUACGUUGACAUCGUAGGGGUCACUGGUUCGAACCCAGUACCGCCCA
This 72-nucleotide transfer RNA is filed under the name Roseivivax jejudonensis. It matches the Rfam family "tRNA". Rfam says of the family: Transfer RNA (tRNA) molecules are approximately 80 nucleotides in length. Lineage: Bacteria; Pseudomonadati; Pseudomonadota; Alphaproteobacteria; Rhodobacterales; Roseobacteraceae. The record is from Rfam by way of RNAcentral.